RNAcentral lists this non-coding RNA (103 nucleotides) under pig gut metagenome. Its description in RNAcentral is "THF riboswitch". It matches the Rfam family "THF (Tetrahydrofolate) riboswitch aptamer". From Rfam's summary of the family: THF riboswitch presents a pseudoknot that joins P1-P2 and the loop of P3 and two THF binding. The record is from RNAcentral.
GCAGAGUAGAAAAUUCCGCGUGAAGUGCCAUUCGAACGGGGAGUUGUCGAAUGGACGAAAAGCGUCAGCAGAACGCUUGCGGUGGAGUUUUCGCAUCCCGCUG